Long non-coding RNA from Cuculus canorus (common cuckoo), 1022 nucleotides. RefSeq lists it as uncharacterized. NCBI's taxonomy places the organism in Eukaryota, Metazoa, Chordata, Aves, Cuculiformes, Cuculidae. The record is from RefSeq and is a predicted model, not a curated record. The transcript is spliced from 6 exons.
GAAAAUGAUUUUCCUUACAAAACUUUGUGCCUGCCACCGUGCUUGCUGUCAAACUAUGAAGGUUUCCUUGGGCUUUCAUGUGAUAUUACUGAUCUGACGCAGUUCAGGAUGGUACUGCAGAAGAAAUGUGCAUUUCUAUAUGUGCUGCAGGGAGAAUUGCAACUGAAAGGAGAAAUUUUAUCCCCUUCCUCUCAUGUAUGUGUUGUUGUUGUUGUUUUUGCUAACAGGUGUUGCCCAACAUAGGUGAGGAAAUGGCUGGUAUCUUCCUCAAUUGAAAACAAAAUGUUGUUGGAAUGGAUUGCACUUCUGCCAGUAAUGCUAAAGGAAAGGUAGAAGAUGGAAAAUGAAAUGUAGUGAAUGUAGUGGGAGACUGGAUGGGUACAAGACAUGAAAAACAAAGUCAAGCCAAGCGCUUGCAGAAUGCAGGAGACCUUCACAUCCAUGAAGACACAGCUGCUGAGUCAGGCCUGUGGCUACUUGCACACCCAAGAAAUACACACGUGUUGAUAGAAAACAGAUUUAAAAGGUACCUAAAAUAAUAGCUUUUUAAGACAGUAUUACAGUCAUAUAGCUUGUUGGGAAAGACACACCAUGGCUCACAGUCUGAAUUAAACAUGUGUCAUUGUGGCUGAGAGAGAAAUCUUCUACCUUCCAGAAACCUGAUAUUUUGGACCAAAUCCCUCACUGAACAGGUUGUAUGCUGCCCUUUUCAAAAUCAAGUUAUCAGAAGAUGCCCUUCAGCAGAAGCGUUAAGAGGACUUGAGGUUUAUUAAGACGAGUCUCACAAAGAUCUGCAUGUACGUAGAGCAGCGACUCUUGUGUUCCUGCUGUGGUGCCCUGGAAGUGCGGUGGAUAUCUGAUGGAAAGGACUGGUUCAGCACCUCACAGGGUUACUACCCGGAGAAGCUGUGUGCUAAAUUCACACCAGAUCUCGGUGGUGGACUCUUAUCUCUCUGAUAAGCUUGCCUUUCAAAUCUAGACACACCAACCACUGUAUAUAACCUUUCUUAAGACACUUUUCU